GUGCCAGCCGCCGCGGUAAGACGUAGGAUGCAAGCGUUGUUCGGAAUUAUUGGGCGUAAAGCGUGCGUAGGCGGCUAUUUAAGUCUGGUGUUAAAGCUAGGGGCUCAACCCCUGUGUUGCACUGGAAACUGGGUAGCUUGAGUGCGGUAGGGGAAGGUGGAAUUCCGAGUGUAGCGGUGAAAUGCGUAGAUAUUCGGAAGAACACCGGUGGCGAAGGCGACCUUCUGGGCCGCAACUGACGCUGAGGCACGAAAGCGUGGGGAGCAAACGGGAUUAGAUACCCCUGUAGUCC
This 292-nucleotide ribosomal RNA is filed under the name uncultured bacterium. Its description in RNAcentral is "partial 16S ribosomal RNA". It matches the Rfam family "Bacterial small subunit ribosomal RNA", at positions 505 to 796 of the family's 1533-position model. The record is from RNAcentral.